GGUGGUCGUAGCUCAGUUGGUUAGAGCAUCAGAUUGUGGUUCUGAGGGUCGUGGGUUCAAAUCCCAUCUUCCACCC
This 76-nucleotide transfer RNA is filed under the name Bacteroidales bacterium. RNAcentral describes it as "tRNA-His". It matches the Rfam family "tRNA". Rfam says of the family: Transfer RNA (tRNA) molecules are approximately 80 nucleotides in length. Their secondary structure includes four short double-helical elements and three loops (D, anti-codon, and T loops). Further hydrogen bonds mediate the characteristic L-shaped molecular structure. tRNAs have two regions of fundamental functional importance: the anti-codon, which is responsible for specific mRNA codon recognition, and the 3' end, to which the tRNAs corresponding amino acid is attached (by aminoacyl-tRNA synthetases). tRNAs cope with the degeneracy of the genetic code in two manners: having more than one tRNA (with a specific anti-codon) for a particular amino acid; and 'wobble' base-pairing, i.e. permitting non-standard base-pairing at the 3rd anti-codon position. Lineage: Bacteria; Pseudomonadati; Bacteroidota; Bacteroidia; Bacteroidales. The record is from RNAcentral.